AUGUGGGAUUAAUUCGAUGCAACGCGAAAAACCUUACCUACCCUUGACAUGCCACUAACGAAGUAGAGAUACAUUAGGUGCUCGUAAGAGAAAGUGGACACAGGUGCUGCAUGGCUGUCGUCAGCUCGUGUCGUGAGGUGUUGGGUUAAGUCCCGCAACGAGCGCAACCCUUGUCGUUAAUUGCCAUCAUUUAGUUGGGCACUUUAGCGAGACUGCCGGUGACAAACCGGAGGAAGGUGGGGAUGACGUCAAGUCCUCAUGGCCCUUAUGGGUAGGGCUUCACACGUCAUACAAUGGUCGGUACAGAGGGUUGCCAAGCCGCGAGGUGGAGCCAAUCCCAGAAAACCGAUCGUAGUCCGGAUUGGAGUCUGCAACUCGACUCCAUGAAGUGGGAAUCGCUAGUAAUCGCGGAUCAGAAUGUCGCGGUGAAUACGUUCCCGGGUCUUGUACACACCGCCCGUCAAACCAUGGGAGUGGGUCUCACCAGAAGUAGGUAGCCUAACCGUAAGGAGGGCGCUUACCACGGUGGGAUUCAUGACUGGGGUUAAGUCGUAACAAGG
This 560-nucleotide ribosomal RNA is filed under the name uncultured bacterium. RNAcentral's name for it is "bacterial SSU rRNA". It matches the Rfam family "Bacterial small subunit ribosomal RNA", at positions 939 to 1496 of the family's 1533-position model. The record is from RNAcentral.